UACGUAGGGAGCAAGCGUUGUCCGGAAUCAUUGGGCGUAAAGCGCGCGUAGGCGGCCUCAUAAGUCCGCUGUGAAAGUCAAAGGCUCAACCUUUGAAAGCCGGUGGAUACUGUGGGGCUAGAGUACGGAAGAGGCGAGUGGAAUUCCUGGUGUAGCGGUGGAAUGCGCAGAUAUCAGGAGGAACACCAAUAGCGAAGGCAGCUCGCUGGGACGUUACUGACACUGAGGCGCGAAAGCGUGGGGAGCGAACAGG
Molecule: ribosomal RNA, 253 nt
Filed under: uncultured bacterium
Lineage: Bacteria
Description: partial 16S ribosomal RNA
Rfam family: Bacterial small subunit ribosomal RNA
Source: RNAcentral